Oryza glumipatula is the source of this 205-nucleotide non-coding RNA. Lineage: Eukaryota; Viridiplantae; Streptophyta; Magnoliopsida; Poales; Poaceae. The record is from Rfam.
AAUAAGUGUAGCCAUGAGUUUUCGCGCCCAACUUUGAUCAUCUGUCUUAUUUGAAAUUUUUUUAUAAUUAGCAUUUUUGUUGUUAUGAAAUGAUAAAAUAUGAAUCGUACUUUACUCAUGACUUAUGUUUUAAAAUUUUUUCAAAUUUUUUUCAAAUAAGAUGAACGGUCAAAAUUGGGCGCGGAAAACUAUAGCUGCACUUAUU